UACCAGCUCCCGAGUGGUUGGGACGAUUACUUGGUCUAAAGCGUCCGUAGCCUGUUGGAGGAGUUCUCCGUUAAAUCCAAUGAUUCAAUCAUUGGGCUGCGGAAAUUACUCUCCAGCUUGGGGGCGGAGGAUGUCGACGGUAGUCCUGGGGUAGGGGCGAAAUCCUAUAAUCCCAGGAGGACCACCAGUGGCGAAGGCGGUCGACAAAUACGCGCCCGACGGUGAGGGACGAAAGCUGGGGGAGCGAACGGGAUUAGAUACCCCGGUAGUCCCAGCUGUAAACGAUGCAGGCUAGGUGUUAGGAUGGCUACGGGCCGUUCUAGUGCCGCAGGGAAGCCGUUAAGUCUGCCACCUGGGAAGUACGGUCGCAAGGCUGAAACUUAAAGGAAUUGGCGGGGAGCACCACAAGGGGUGAAGCCUGCGGCUU
This 427-nucleotide ribosomal RNA is filed under the name uncultured archaeon. RNAcentral's name for it is "bacterial SSU rRNA". It matches the Rfam family "Archaeal small subunit ribosomal RNA", at positions 474 to 903 of the family's 1478-position model. The record is from RNAcentral.